This 389-nucleotide unclassified non-coding RNA is filed under the name Hevea brasiliensis (rubber tree). Lineage: Eukaryota; Viridiplantae; Streptophyta; Magnoliopsida; Malpighiales; Euphorbiaceae. The record is from RNAcentral.
AAAAAAAUAGUUUUCUUUCUUUCUCCCUCUGCCUUUCCAUUUUUAUACGGAGCCCAGCUUUUGUUCGUCUCUCUUUUUCCUCUCUCCUGUCAUCGCUUUGUUUUCCUUCUAAUCUCUCUGACUUUUUAUUUACUAUUUAGAUCCAUCGUGUCCGUUUUAGGGUUUUAAUAUCACCACUCUCUUCAAUCGUCUCCUACGAUCCGAUUCUCCUUUUUCACUACCCUGUCGUUACAGAAAUCGUUCAAUACCGUUUGGUGAUAAGUUCGUCCUUGUUUUGAAUUUCCAAUCCACUAGCCACUUGCAUUUCGUUUCGUUGACUUGGAAUCUCGCUGUUCAGAGGAUUAAACCGGAGUAUAAGAAAUUAAUUGUAGGAUUUAGGUGCCCCAUUU